GAUGAAGAACGUAGCGAAAUGCGAUACUUGGUGUGAAUUGCAGAAUCCCGUGAACCAUCGAGUCUUUGAACGCAAGUUGCGCCCGAAGCCAUUAGGCCGAGGGAACGCCUGCCUGGGCGUCACACGUCGUUGCCCCCCCAUCUACUCCUUCGGGAUUGCGGGGGGCGGAUGAUGGCCUCUCGUGCGCCUCGUCGCGCGGUUGGCCUAAAUGCCAAGUCCUCGGCGACGCACGCCACGACAAUCGGUGGUUGCGAAACCUCGGUUGCCUGUCGUGUGCGGUCGUCGCGCAUCGAGGGCUCGAAAAAAUUGCCGGGCUUCGGCUCGACUUUCAACGCGACCCCAGGUCAGGCGGGGUUACCCGCUGAAUUUAAGCAUAUCAAUAAGCGGAGGA
Molecule: unclassified non-coding RNA, 391 nt
Filed under: soil metagenome
Description: partial contains 5.8S ribosomal RNA, internal transcribed spacer 2, and large subunit ribosomal RNA
Rfam family: 5.8S ribosomal RNA (bases 1-122)
Source: RNAcentral